CGGCGGACGGGUGAGUAACGCGUGGGUAACCUGCCUUGUACUGGGGGACAACAGUUGGAAACGACUGCUAAUACCGCAUAAGCGCACAGCUUCGCAUGAAGCGGUGUGAAAAACUCCGGUGGUACAAGAUGGACCCGCGUCUGAUUAGCUGGUUGGUGAGGUAACGGCCCACCAAGGCAACGAUCAGUAGCCGGCCUGAGAGGGUGAACGGCCACAUUGGGACUGAGACACGGCCCAA
This 238-nucleotide ribosomal RNA is filed under the name uncultured bacterium. RNAcentral's name for it is "partial 16S ribosomal RNA". It matches the Rfam family "Bacterial small subunit ribosomal RNA", at positions 96 to 334 of the family's 1533-position model. The record is from RNAcentral.